RNAcentral lists this ribosomal RNA (478 nucleotides) under uncultured bacterium. Its description in RNAcentral is "partial 16S ribosomal RNA". It matches the Rfam family "Bacterial small subunit ribosomal RNA", at positions 28 to 523 of the family's 1533-position model. The record is from RNAcentral.
GACGAACGCUGGCGGCGUGCUUAACACAUGCAAGUCGAACGGUAAGGCCCUUCGGGGUACACGAGUGGCGAACGGGUGAGUAACACGUGGGUGAUCUGCCCUGCACUUCGGGAUAAGCCUGGGAAACUGGGUCUAAUACCGGAUAGGACCACUGCCUGCAUGGGUGGUGGUGGAAAGCUUUUGCGGUGUGGGAUGGGCCCGCGGCCUAUCAGCUGGUUGGUGGGGUGAUGGCCUACCAAGGCGACGACGGGUAGCUGGCCUGCGAGGGUGAACGGCCACACUGGGACUGAGAUACGGGCCAGACUCCUACGGGAGGCAGCAGUGGGGAAUAUUGCACAAUGGGCGCAAGCCUGAUGCAGCGACGCCGCGUGAGGGAUGACGGCCUUCGGGUUGUAAACCUCUUUCAGCACCGACGAAGCGCAAGUGACGGUAGGUGCAGAAGAAGGACCGGCCAACUACGUGCCAGCAGCCGCAGUAA